AUACGGAGGGUGCAAGCGUUAAUCGGAAUUACUGGGCGUAAAGCGCUCGUAGGCGGCUUGUUAAGUCGGAUGUGAAAGCCCCGGGCUCAACCUGGGAACUGCAUUCGAUACUGGCAGGCUAGAGUAUAGUAGAGGCAAGUGGAAUUCCGGGUGUAGCGGUGAAAUGCGUAGAUAUCCGGAGGAACAUCAGUGGCGAAGGCGACUUGCUGGACUAAUACUGACGCUGAGGAGCGAAAGCGUGGGGAGCAAACGGGAUUAGAAACCCCAGUAGUCC
This 274-nucleotide ribosomal RNA is filed under the name uncultured bacterium. Its description in RNAcentral is "partial 16S ribosomal RNA". It matches the Rfam family "Bacterial small subunit ribosomal RNA", at positions 523 to 796 of the family's 1533-position model. The record is from RNAcentral.